ACGGAUCAGCGGACGGCCGCGUGCCCCCUUCACGGAGGGUGCGAGGAAAGUCCGGGCACCGCAGAGCAGGAUGGUGGGCAACGCCCACCCGGGGCGACCCGCGGGCCAGUGCCACAGAGAGAAGACCGCCCCCGCGUCCGCGCGGGGGUGAGGGUGAAAGGGUGGUGUAAGAGACCACCAGCGGCCUCGGUGACGGGGCCGGCUAGGUAAACCCCAUCCGGUGCAAGGCCGAACAGGACGCGUCACGAGGCUGCUCGCCCCAGCGUCCGGGUUGGCCGCUCGAGCCCGUCAGCAAUGGCGGGCCCAGAUGGAUGGCCGUCACCCCGCGCGGGGCAACGCGCGCGGGGCACAGAACCCGGCUUACAGCUGAUCCGUCCCA
Molecule: RNase P RNA, 379 nt
Filed under: Micrococcus endophyticus
Lineage: Bacteria; Bacillati; Actinomycetota; Actinomycetes; Micrococcales; Micrococcaceae
Description: Bacterial RNase P class A
Rfam family: Bacterial RNase P class A
About the family: Ribonuclease P (RNase P) is a ubiquitous endoribonuclease, found in archaea, bacteria and eukarya as well as chloroplasts and mitochondria. Its best characterised activity is the generation of mature 5'-ends of tRNAs by cleaving the 5'-leader elements of precursor-tRNAs. Cellular RNase Ps are ribonucleoproteins.
Source: Rfam by way of RNAcentral